CGACGGCUGGUGCCGUCCCCGGACUUCAAAUCCGGUGGGAGCCUGCCCCGCAAGGCACUCCGGUCGGUUCGAUUCCGACGCCA
RNAcentral lists this transfer RNA (83 nucleotides) under Isosphaeraceae bacterium. Its description in RNAcentral is "tRNA-Sec". It matches the Rfam family "Selenocysteine transfer RNA", at positions 12 to 82 of the family's 91-position model. The record is from RNAcentral. Lineage: Bacteria; Pseudomonadati; Planctomycetota; Planctomycetia; Isosphaerales; Isosphaeraceae.